AGCUAACGCAUUAAGUAGACCGCCUGGGGAGUACGGCCGCAAGGUUAAAACUCAAAUGAAUUGACGGGGGCCCGCACAAGCGGUGGAGCAUGUGGUUUAAUUCGAUGCAACGCGAAGAACCUUACCUACACUUGACAUACAGAGAACUUACCAGAGAUGGUUUGGUGCCUUCGGGAACUCUGAUACAGGUGCUGCAUGGCUGUCGUCAGCUCGUGUUGUGAGAUGUUGGGUUAAGUCCGGCAACGAGCGCAACCCACAUCCUUAGUUGCCAUCAGUUCGGCUGGGCACUCUAAGGAAACUGCCCGUGAUAAGCGGGAGGAAGGUGUGGAUGACGUCAAGUCCUCAUGGCCCUUACGGGUUGGGCUACACACGUGCUACAAUGGCAGUGACAAUGGGUUAAUCCCAAAAAGCUGUCUCAGUUCGGAUUGGGGUCUGCAACUCGACCCCAUGAAGUCGGAAUCGCUAGUAAUCGCGUAACAGCAUGACGCGGUGAAUACGUUCCCGGGCCUUGUACACACCGCCCGUCACACCAUGGGAGUUGGUUCUACCCGACGACGCUGCGCUAACCUUCGGGGGGCAGGCGGCCACGGUAGGAUCAGCGACUGGGGUGAAGUCGUAACAAAGUAGCCGA
This 631-nucleotide ribosomal RNA is filed under the name bacterium enrichment culture clone B08_A3_062 (1/77). RNAcentral's name for it is "bacterial SSU rRNA". It matches the Rfam family "Bacterial small subunit ribosomal RNA", at positions 850 to 1503 of the family's 1533-position model. The record is from RNAcentral.